Molecule: long non-coding RNA, 1669 nt
Organism: Bombus impatiens (common eastern bumble bee)
Lineage: Eukaryota; Metazoa; Arthropoda; Insecta; Hymenoptera; Apidae
Exons: 3
Source: RefSeq, a predicted model, not a curated record
UUUCAUAUAUUCAUUUAAUUGCUUCACUUCUAUCGUCAACUAAUCUGUUCACCACAUUUUCCAUUAUAAACCAACAAGCAUCUAUACAAACAUCCCUACUACACACUUCCUAAAAGAAGAAAAAGGGAAAGAAUGAAGAGAAAUUCCAACAGCGUGGCUUCUCCUUGUCGGAUCAGCUUCGAUCGAGACGAAGAUGGAAGUUCAGCACUGCACAAAGAAGGCAAGCACGAGGUUGACCACCUGCAAACUGCAGAGAGAGGGAGAGAGUGGCAUGCACCCCAGCGGGCGGAAGCUAUAGCUGGCACUGCGUGUUGUAAGACGCAAUGCGCAACAUUUUGCGGAGGCCUUCGUCGCUUAUCGGUCAGGAUAUCUCGCGUGAACCAGCCCGAAUCAAAGUGAAAUCCAUAUUGUCACUCAAAUCGGACAAACUGUGCGCGCUAUACUUUUUCUUUUUCCGGAGCGAAUCCAUGCUUCAGUUUACGAACCCAGUUGAGGAUGGCUUUUCCAGGUUUGUCCCGUAAAGCAAAUUUUCCACGCAACAGAGUAACAUAAAUAAUUUUCAUCCAAAAAUGAGAACAUAUUCCAGUCUCGUACAAAACAUGGCAAUUGAUCCAGAUUGUCAGCGAAGAGAUUAAUCGAUCGGAACCCUGUGUUCAUACAGGAUUUAAUUACAAUCUACAAUUUCAAAUAAAAUGGGGAUGUAAGGCCGCGUUCACGACAUCUUUCUGGGUAAACGCACGCUCUUUGGAACGAUUCGAUAAAUCGGAACGAGGAUAGGCAGACGGGCGGCAGAAUGCGGCAUUGGCGAAAAAUCGCGUCGAAAAAUUGGCAAAGCAGGGCGACUUGUCUGUGCAUUUCGGUCGAAAGUAAUCGUCCAACUAUCGUGCAUUCGUUUUUUCUUCCCCUGGCAUCGAAUCGAUAUCGUACCAUCCGCGCGCGAUCGAAAACCUUCCUGGCUUAUCGUAAAAACACCCAUUCAAUCGUUAGUUAUCAAAGUUAAAUUCAAUUUAGAAUUCACAAUUUUAUCCCAUUUUGAUAAGAACAGAGAAAUCGACAGAAUUAGGAUAAAUAAGUGAAGGAAAACGACGAUUCGAAACGGAAAGUUCGUGCACCACGUUUUUUUAUGAAACGAUAACUUAAAUUAUUUUCAUCCACAAUUUGAACUAUUUUUAUUCAUAUACUUGUAAAGCUGUGAGUAAAUCGAAUAGAUUUAGAACAAUUUAGAACAAAUAGAAAAAGAAUUUAAAAUAGAGAUUAUUUGUUAAAAUAAGAGAUAGCAAUUUACUGCACUUUUGCGUUUGAGAUUAUUUCAAUUUCGAAUAUUUUAUGAAAAAGUAUUGUGCUAAGAGAAAAUUUUGAUAACAAUGACAAGCGAAUAAUGCGUGAAACACAAGAAUGUAUUUUAAGAACUUCAUAUGUUUUCUUCCAUCCGUCUUCACCCAAUAAUAAUGCCAUACUGGUCCUCAUAAGUGCACACAGGUGUGAACAUGAGGUAAGUACGCUUUAGUUUCGACAAUAAUAGUCUCUACCCUGUUUAUGAUUCAUUAGAAGUAAAAAGAGCAAUGUACUUGAUGGAAGUGGUACUUUAUCCUUUCGAGGAACAACUGCAGCAAGAACCGGAGUCAUUCGAAUUAAAGUGAUUUAUAGAUCUGAUCGUAUACAUCAUAAC